RNAcentral lists this long non-coding RNA (312 nucleotides) under Homo sapiens (human). RNAcentral describes it as "long non-coding RNA NONHSAT219415.1". Lineage: Eukaryota; Metazoa; Chordata; Mammalia; Primates; Hominidae. The record is from RNAcentral.
GAGCAUCUUCUAGGAUCAUGUAGUCGGAGAUUAAAAAGAGUUCUACUUUUUCCUUUCCAACCUGGAAGCCUUUUAUUGCAAUUUCUUAUCUGACUGUACUGUCUGAUAUCUCCAGUGCAAGGUUGAAUAAAAGUAGUGAAAACAGACAUUGUUACUUUGCUACCAAAAUUAUAGGCAAAGCAUUCAGUCUUUUGAAGCUUUCAUGUUUAAGGUGAGUGUUUUUUCAUGCCGUUAAUCAGGAUGAGAAAGUUCAGUCUGUUCAUAAUUUGUUGAGAUUUUAUUAUGAUUGGGUACAGGUUAUUUUGUCAAAUU